GUGAGGAAUAUUGGACAAUGGGCGCAAGCCUGAUCCAGCCAUGCCGCGUGAGUGAUGAAGGCCUUAGGGUUGUAAAGCUCUUUCACCGGGGAAGAUAAUGACGGUACCCGGAGAAGAAGCCCCGGCCAACUCCGUGCCAGCAGCCGCGGUAAUACGGAGGGGGCUAGCGUUGUUCGGAAUUACUGGGCGUAAAGCGCACGUAGGCGGCUUGUCAAGUUGGGGGUGAAAGCCCGGAGCUCAACUCCGGAACUGCCCUCGAAACUGGCUCGCUAGAGUCCGGGAGAGGUGAGUGGAAUUCCCAGUGUAGAGGUGAAAUUCGUAGAUAUUGGGAAGAACACCAGUGGCGAAGGCGGCUCACUGGACCGGUACUGACGCUAAGGUGCGAAAGCGUGGGGAGCAAACAGG
This 405-nucleotide ribosomal RNA is filed under the name uncultured bacterium. RNAcentral describes it as "bacterial SSU rRNA". It matches the Rfam family "Bacterial small subunit ribosomal RNA", at positions 354 to 776 of the family's 1533-position model. The record is from RNAcentral.